This 342-nucleotide long non-coding RNA is filed under the name Lucilia cuprina (Australian sheep blowfly). RNAcentral describes it as "uncharacterized LOC124420332, transcript variant X1". Lineage: Eukaryota; Metazoa; Arthropoda; Insecta; Diptera; Calliphoridae. The record is from RNAcentral.
UAUUGCAAAUGAUGAGACGUUCUGUGGCAAAGACUUGCACAAUUUAAAAUCAGUUACUUCUGGUGGCUGCUCGUGGACGGUUGUUUUAAGCGGACUAAAUAAAAAGGAAUAAAAAAAGUGGUAUUAGAGAAAAAGCAAGAAGAGCGAAAAGGAUAUAAAUUAAGCUCUUUUUAUAUGAAAAAAGAGAUUUUUUCCAUUCUCUUAAAGAGAUAACGGUAAAACAUUUAUAAAGGAUUGCUCUCGCAGUCUGUCGUGUUGAAAACGUUGAACUAGACGGUUGCUUGCUGAGGCUGGUCUGUUGGUGUUAGAAUAUAUUAAAUGAUUAAAAUUAAAGAAGUUAAA